This 169-nucleotide unclassified non-coding RNA is filed under the name Umbelopsis ramanniana. Lineage: Eukaryota; Fungi; Mucoromycota; Umbelopsidomycetes; Umbelopsidales; Umbelopsidaceae. The record is from RNAcentral.
CUGAAGUGAGUCUUCAAUCAUUGAAGCUUCUUCCCAUUGUGCUGGCUUUGACCGUAUGUAAUGUUGGGGAUUAAACAUGGUUGAGAGAAAUCUUGGCCGUCCCCAACAAAUUAUCUUAUCCUUUAUUAAAUUGAACUGAACUCAUUUUGAGAUUACAUAAAAAAAAUAA